AUUGAACGCUGGCGGCAGGCCUAACACAUGCAAGUCGAACGGUAACAGGGAUCAGCUUGCUGAUUCGCUGACGAGUGGCGGACGGGUGAGUAAUGUCUGGGAAACUGCCUGAUGGAGGGGGAUAACUACUGGAAACGGUAGCUAAUACAGCAUAACGUCGCAAGACCAAAGAGGGGGACCUUCGGGCCUCUUGCCAUCGGAUGUGCCCAGAUGGGAUUAGCUAGUAGGUGGGGUAACGGCUCACCUAGGCGACGAUCCCUAGCUGGUCUGAGAGGAUGACCAGCCACACUGGAACUGAGACACGGUCCAGACUCCUACGGGAGGCAGCAGUGGGGAAUAUUGCACAAUGGGCGCAAGCCUGAUGCAGCCAUGCCGCGUGUAUGAAGAAGGCCUUCGGGUUGUAAAGUACUUUCAGCGGGGAGGAAGGGAGUAAAGUUAAUACCUUUGCUCAUUGACGUUACCCGCAGAAGAAGCACCGGCUAACUCCGUG
Molecule: ribosomal RNA, 490 nt
Filed under: uncultured bacterium
Lineage: Bacteria
Description: partial 16S ribosomal RNA
Rfam family: Bacterial small subunit ribosomal RNA
Source: RNAcentral